GACGCGUCAAACGAUAUUUUUUCCAUUCAUUUUUGAAUUUAGCACCCGCUAAAUUCGCUAUCUACGCAACAAAACCAUAGCUAUGAUCAUCAAACGUUUGCAUACAAUCAGUGUCCGACAUAUCCACUUUUACAAAAUACCGGAUUCAAUCAGCAAUUUUUAGGACACCAGUCACCAUUUGAUGCAAUUCCUGAAAUCCACCAUACAAAUGCUGCGGUUGUAAAUACGCAACAAAAUCCACAAUCUGCGACCAGUCAUGAAAAUCCUUAUCAAUCUUAUUAUCACCCACAAUAACAUCAGAUAUAUAACAUGAAAAAUGUCAUUUCGUAAAAUGUUUGGCCCAUUUCAUGUUAAAAGAUAAAAUAAAAUA
Long non-coding RNA from Sitodiplosis mosellana (orange wheat blossom midge), 370 nucleotides. RefSeq lists it as uncharacterized. The record is from RefSeq and is a predicted model, not a curated record. The transcript has 3 exons. NCBI's taxonomy places the organism in Eukaryota, Metazoa, Arthropoda, Insecta, Diptera, Cecidomyiidae.